RNAcentral lists this ribosomal RNA (285 nucleotides) under uncultured bacterium. RNAcentral describes it as "partial 16S ribosomal RNA". It matches the Rfam family "Bacterial small subunit ribosomal RNA", at positions 335 to 637 of the family's 1533-position model. The record is from RNAcentral.
GCCCUACGGGAGGCAGCAGUGGGGAAUAUUGCACAAUGGGGGGAACCCUGAUGCAGCGACGCCGCGUGGGUGAAGGAGUAUUUCGGUAUGUAAAGCCCUAUCAGCAGGGAAGAACAAUGACGGUACCUGACUAAGAAGCACCGGCUAAAUACGUGCCAGCAGCCGCGGUAAUACGUAGGGGGCAAGCGUUAUCCGGAUUUACUGGGUGUAAAGGGAGCGUAGACAGCGGCGCAAGUCCGGAGUGAAAGCCCACGGCCCAACCGUGGGGCUGCUCUGGAAACUGGG